GAAUAUUGGACAAUGGGCGAAAGCCUGAUCCAGCAAUGCCGCGUGAGUGAUGAAGGCCUUAGGGUUGUAAAGCUCUUUUACCCGGGAUGAUAAUGACAGUACCGGGCGAAUAAGCCCCGGCUAACUCCGUGCCAGCAGCCGCGGUAAUACGGAGGGGGCUAGCGUUAUUCGGAAUUACUGGGCGUAAAGCGCACGUAGGCGGCUUUGUAAGUUAGAGGUGAAAGCCCAGAGCUCAACUCUGGAAUUGCCUUUAAGACUGCAUCGCUUGAAUGAUGGAGAGGUGAGUGGAAUUCCGAGUGUAGAGGUAAAAUUCGUAGAUAGUCGGAAGAACACCAGUGGCGAAGGCGGCUCACUGGACAUGUAUUGACGCUGAGGUGCGAAAGCGUGGGGAGCAAACAGG
RNAcentral lists this ribosomal RNA (400 nucleotides) under uncultured bacterium. Its description in RNAcentral is "bacterial SSU rRNA". It matches the Rfam family "Bacterial small subunit ribosomal RNA", at positions 359 to 776 of the family's 1533-position model. The record is from RNAcentral.